This 511-nucleotide long non-coding RNA is filed under the name Ananas comosus (pineapple). RNAcentral's name for it is "long non-coding RNA (ACOM_LNC020764)". The record is from RNAcentral. Lineage: Eukaryota; Viridiplantae; Streptophyta; Magnoliopsida; Poales; Bromeliaceae.
CCUCGCACGCUUCCGGAUUAAUAUGUUGAUAUUCUUUUUCCACAAUUUUGGGAUUUAGCGAUUAUCUGUGAGUUGAUUUAUUUGCGUUUAUCUGUAUGUUUGUUUGUUUUUAUUUUUAUUUUUAUCACAAAGUUAGUUAGAUUUUAAUUGCAAUCGGAUUCCUAUGCGAUAUUUGUUCCAACAGAACAGGGGAACAGGUGGAGGAAACGGAGUCAGAGCUGGGGUUGAGGGAGGCGCGGGUGAGGGUGCGGGAUGAGCAUGAUUGGGCAGAAGACGAAGAAGAUGGGGGCAAUUUAAUUAUUUUGUCACACCGUACCCCCCUAUAAAUAUUCUUUAUUUCUUAAGGGGGUAAAGUAUAGGUUUUUGAAUGACCAAAGUGAAAAGUGAAAAAGCAGAUAUUGACAGUGAAAUUUUCUGUAAUUUAGCAUAAGAUUAAUUGGAACUUCAAACAACUCAAUAUGAUAGGGAGAAGGACAUAUAAGGUUUUGGGAUAGGGUUUAUAUAUUUGAUG